This 344-nucleotide ribosomal RNA is filed under the name Eimeria reichenowi. Its description in RNAcentral is "SSU rRNA". It matches the Rfam family "Eukaryotic small subunit ribosomal RNA", at positions 1482 to 1831 of the family's 1831-position model. Lineage: Eukaryota; Apicomplexa; Conoidasida; Eucoccidiorida; Eimeriidae. The record is from RNAcentral.
CUGGGCUGCACGCGCGCUACACUGAUGCACUCAACGAGUUACAGAACCUUGUCCGGAAGGUCUAGGUAAUCUUUUGAGCAUGCAUCGUGAUGGGGAUAGAUUAUUGCAAUUAUUAAUCUUCAACGAGGAAUGCCUAGUAGGCGCAAGUCAGCAGCUUGCGCCGAUUACGUCCCUGUGCUUUGUACACACCGCCCGUCGCUGCAACCGAUCGGAGGGUCCUGUGAAUUCAUCGGACUGACUUGCUGGUUCUGCCUGCUGGUCGGGAAGUUGCGUAAAUAGAGCCCUCUAAAGGAUGCAAAAGUCGUAACACGGUUUCCGUAGGUGAACCUGCGGAAGGAUCAUUC